Molecule: ribosomal RNA, 301 nt
Filed under: uncultured bacterium
Lineage: Bacteria
Description: partial 16S ribosomal RNA
Rfam family: Bacterial small subunit ribosomal RNA
Source: RNAcentral
CAGUAGCCGCGGGAAUACGAAGGGGGCUAGCGUUGCUCGGAAUGACUGGGCGUAAAGGGCGCGUAGGCGGAUCACGCAGUCAGAUGUGAAAUUCCUGGGCUUAACCUGGGGGCUGCAUUUGAGACGCGUGGUCUAGAGUGUGAAAGAGGGUCGUGGAAUUCCCAGUGUAGAGGUGAAAUUCGUAGAUAUUGGGAAGAACACCGGUGGCGAAGGCGGCAACCUGGUCCUUGACUGACGCUGAGGCGCGAAAGCGUGGGGAGCAAACAGGAUUAGAUACCCCCGUAGUCCCUGUCUCUUAUAC